GCUGGCGUAGCUCAACGGGUAGAGCGGUCGACUUGUAAUCGACAGGUUAGCGGUUCGAGUCCGCUCGCCAGCUCCA
Molecule: transfer RNA, 76 nt
Filed under: Bacillota bacterium
Lineage: Bacteria; Bacillati; Bacillota
Also listed under: 1 other name
Description: Firmicutes bacterium tRNA-Thr
Rfam family: tRNA
About the family: Transfer RNA (tRNA) molecules are approximately 80 nucleotides in length. Their secondary structure includes four short double-helical elements and three loops (D, anti-codon, and T loops).
Source: RNAcentral